RNAcentral lists this ribosomal RNA (803 nucleotides) under Triangularia setosa. RNAcentral's name for it is "partial large subunit ribosomal RNA". It matches the Rfam family "Eukaryotic large subunit ribosomal RNA", at positions 47 to 883 of the family's 3401-position model. Lineage: Eukaryota; Fungi; Ascomycota; Sordariomycetes; Sordariales; Podosporaceae. The record is from RNAcentral.
UAAGCGGAGGAAAAGAAACCAACAGGGAUUGCCUCAGUAACGGCGAGUGAAGCGGCAACAGCUCAAAUUUGAAAUCUGGCCUCGGCCCGAGUUGUAAUUUGUAGAGGAAGCUUUUGGUGCGGCACCGACCGAGUCCCCUGGAACGGGGCGCCAUAGAGGGUGAGAGCCCCGUAUGGUUGGACGCCUAUCCUCUGUAAAGCUCCUUCGACGAGUCGAGUAGUUUGGGAAUGCUGCUCAAAAUGGGAGGUAAAUUUCUUCUAAAGCUAAAUAUUGGCCAGAGACCGAUAGCGCACAAGUAGAGUGAUCGAAAGAUGAAAAGCACUUUGAAAAGAGGGUUAAAUAGCACGUGAAAUUGUUGAAAGGGAAGCGCUUGUGACCAGACUUGCGCCUCGUCGAUCAUCCGGGGUUCUCCCCGGUGCACUCGGCGGGGCUCAGGCCAGCAUCGGUUUUCGUGGGGGGACAAAGGCACCGGGAACGUAGCUCCUCCGGGAGUGUUAUAGCCCGGGGCGUAAUGCCCUCGCGGGGACCGAGGACCGCGCUUCGGCAAGGAUGCUGGCGUAAUGGUCAUCAGCGACCCGUCUUGAAACACGGACCAAGGAGUCAAGGUUUUGCGCGAGUGUUUGGGUGUAAAACCCGCACGCGUAAUGAAAGUGAACGUAGGUGAGAGCUUCGGCGCAUCAUCGACCGAUCCUGAUGUAUUCGGAUGGAUUUGAGUAGGAGCGUUAAGCCUUGGACCCGAAAGAUGGUGAACUAUGCUUGGAUAGGGUGAAGCCAGAGGAAACUCUGGUGGAGGCUCGCAGCGG